GUGCAGCAGGCGAGAAUCCUCCACAAUGUGGGCAACCACGAUGGGGGAACUCCAAGUGGAUGCACUUUGUGCAUUCUGUUCUCGAGCCUAAAAAGCUCGAGAAGUAAGGGCCGGGUAAGACGGGUGCCAGCCGCCGCGGUAAUACCCGCGGCCCGAGUGGUGCUCAUUAUUAUUGAGCCUAAAGCGUCCGUAGCUGGCCGGGCAAAUCUCCGGGUAAAUCGGGCAGCUCAACUGUCCGAAUUCCGGAGACACUGCUCGGCUUGGGAUCGGGAGAGGGUGAAGGUACUCCCUGUGUAGGGGUAAAAUCCUGUAAUCCGGGGGGGACCACCAGUGGCGAAGGCGUUCACCUAGAACGAAUCCGACAGUGAGGGACGAAGCCCUAGGGCGCAAACGGGAUUAGAUACCCCUGUAGUCC
RNAcentral lists this ribosomal RNA (415 nucleotides) under uncultured bacterium. RNAcentral describes it as "bacterial SSU rRNA". It matches the Rfam family "Archaeal small subunit ribosomal RNA", at positions 330 to 747 of the family's 1478-position model. The record is from RNAcentral.